Molecule: ribosomal RNA, 801 nt
Filed under: uncultured Rubrobacter sp.
Lineage: Bacteria; Bacillati; Actinomycetota; Rubrobacteria; Rubrobacterales; Rubrobacteraceae
Description: bacterial SSU rRNA
Rfam family: Bacterial small subunit ribosomal RNA
Source: RNAcentral
AGAGUUUGAUCCUGGCUCAGGACGAACGCUGACGGUGUGCUUUAGGCAUGCAAGUCGAACGAGAAAGCCCUUCGGGGCGAGUAAAGUGGCGAACGGGUGAGUAACACGUGGGCAACCUGCCCCUCGCAGGGGGACAACCGGAGGAAACUCCGGCUAAUACCCCGUAAGCUCUACACGCCGCAUGGCGAGUAGAGGAAAGGUAGCUUCGGCCAUCCGGCGAGGGAUGGGCCCGCGGUGCAUUAGCUAGUUGGUGGGGUAACGGCCCACCAAGGCGACGAUGCGUAGCUGGUCUGAGAGGAUGAUCAGCCACACUGGGACUGAGACACGGCCCAGACUCCUACGGGAGGCAGCAGCCAGGAAUCUUGGGCAAUGGGCGAAAGCCUGACCCAGCAACACCGUGUGGGUGAUGAAGGCCUUCGGGUCGUAAAGCCCUGUUGAUAGGGACGAAGGGUGAAGGGUUAAUAGCCCGGAGCUUGACGGUACCUUUCGAGGAAGCCCCGGCUAACUACGUGCCAGCAGCCGCGGUAAUACGUAGGGGGCGAGCGUUGUCCGGAAUUAUUGGGCGUAAAGAGCGUGUAGGCGGUUCGGUAAGUCUGUCGUGAAAUCCUGGGGCUCAACCCUGGGCGUGCGAUGGAUACUGCCGGGCUAGAGGGUGGUAGAGGCGAGUGGAAUUCCCGGUGUAGCGGUGAAAUGCGCAGAUAUCGGGAGGAACACCAGUAGCGAAGGCGGCUCGCUGGGCCACACCUGACGCUGAGACGCGAAAGCUAGGGGAGCGAACAGGAUUAGAUACCCCCGUAGUCC